AUGCGGAGAGACAAACAUACCAAGAGGGUUCAUGCAGCCACGUCACAUGGAAGGAGUGGCCAUGGCCGGGCCCAGGGCCAUGGCCGUGAGGCAGACCUGAGAGGGGAAGGUGGGGCCAUGCUGAGGGGCACCGCGGUGCAGCCAGGAGCAGCCCGCGGGCAGCAGAGUGGUCCGGACAGCAGUGGCAGCGGGCAUCUGUACGGAGAGGUGGCGGACAGAGAGCAGGAGAGGGCUGGCCCUGGACCACUGCUGUUUGGUCUCUGCCUCCGCAGCCCUCCUGGAGCCCCCAACAGACCCACCAGAGUCAUCCGCAUCUACCGUGCCGGCACCCCGACGCCCUGCCAACCCCUGCCCCUCACCAGCUCUAAGGCCGCUGGGGCUCGCUGCGGGGCACCCACCCACCCACCCUUGGCCCGGGAUGGUCUGCAUACCCCGCUAACUGCUGGCUCUCCUCUGACUGAGUGUCUGAACCACACCCAUCCUCCUGGCAUCUACUUGCUGUCCCCUCUCCUGCAGGGCCUGUGGCUCCAGACUGAGGCCACCGUCACUGGCCUGGUGCUGGGGGACGAGCUGCAAGAGGCCCGCUUGUCCUGGCUGGUGGCCGGGGCAGCGCCCCGCAGGGCUGUGGUGGAAGGGCAGCUGUGGCCACUCCACAAUGGCUCCCAGAGCCUGAGCAGCCAGCUGGCCCUGCCUUGGGCCUCGUGGUCCUCAGGAGCCCCUGUCACCUGCAUGCUGAGCCACCCUGACCUGCCGUCCCAUGUGGAGGCAGUGGCGCUGAGAGAGCUCGGAGAGGCCGCUGCCACGGCACCCAGCAGCCUCACUGUCCACAUCCUGACCACACGAGGGGCAGCCUCUGGGCUCCUGUGCGAGGCGCCCGCCUUCUCACCCCCGGACAUUGUCAUCGCCUGGCUGGAGGGUCAGCACGGAGUGGACCAUCCUUGGUUUGCCACUGCGCACCCCACGGCCCAGCCUGGGAGCACCACGUUCCACACCUGGAGAGUCCUGCACAUCCUGGCUGCCCAGGCCCACAGCCAGCCACCUACACGGGUGUGGUUGGGCACGAUGCACCCCGGAAUGUGCUCAACACCAGCUGGAGCCUGGAGGCUGGCGGUGAGUCACACACAGGCACAGGGGCCUCCUCACCCUGUCCUGGGCAAGGGGAGUGGGACCCCCCACCCCUGGUGCUCCUGGAGUGCAGGUCCACGCUGCUCUUUCUCCAGGGGUCCCGUUCCCCACACUCUGGCACAGACCAGACCCCGUGUUGGGCUGACCACAGCUGA
Molecule: non-coding RNA, 1280 nt
Organism: Manis javanica (Malayan pangolin)
Lineage: Eukaryota; Metazoa; Chordata; Mammalia; Pholidota; Manidae
Source: the annotation of a RefSeq genome assembly